Molecule: ribosomal RNA, 251 nt
Filed under: uncultured prokaryote
Description: partial 16S rRNA
Rfam family: Bacterial small subunit ribosomal RNA
Source: RNAcentral
ACGUAGGGUGCGAGCGUUGUCCGGAAUUACUGGGCGUAAAGCGCACGUAGGCGGGCUGUCAAGUCGGCCGUGAAAUGCACUGGCUCAACCGGUGUUUGGCGGUCGAUACUGGCGGUCUGGAGUAUGGGAGAGGUGACUGGAAUUCCAGGUGUAGCGGUGAAAUGCGUAGAUAUCGCGAGGAACACCAGUCGCGAAGGCGGGUUCCUGGCUCAUUACUGACGCUGAGGCGCGAAAGCGUGGGGAGCGAACGG